Molecule: non-coding RNA, 3081 nt
Organism: Camelina sativa (false flax)
Lineage: Eukaryota; Viridiplantae; Streptophyta; Magnoliopsida; Brassicales; Brassicaceae
Source: RefSeq, a predicted model, not a curated record
UCAGUAUCUGGAGAACACAAAAUUAUAGGGAUCACAGACUCUUCAAUUCAGAGAGAGAGAGAGAGAGUGAGCGACGAGAAAGAAAGAGAGCGACGAGAGAGAGAGUUCGAAUCUUCUAGUGGCGGCAGCGACAUCAUGAAGAACAAGUCAAGAAGAGGAGGAGGACGAUGAUUUACUCAGAUUUAUUAUGUUUGGAGGAUGAAGAUUCAGAACACCAAAAUCGGUGUCGGUCCGGCGUGCUCUUACAGUAAAAACAACAUCAAAACUGUUCGAAUUCAAAAAAGGGUAACAAUGAUUGUUAAAAACAUAGCUCUACAGUUUUUGAUGUAUGUCCGAGUCUCAUUCAGCAAAAAUCAGAGAGUGAUAGAGCCAAAACAAGUCAGAGGUGUGUGUUAAUGUGUUCCAACCCUGACUACGUUGACUCAGAUUUUUUUUCAAGGACGGUACCAAGUAUAUUCAGACCUAAACCGGUUGCCGGAGGAAGGUGUGCGCGUGCUUGUUCGUGUUCCAACUCUCAUCUGAGUGUUUUGCCUUUACUCAGGCACGUCGUUCCAUUACUCACAAGCACUUAAUGCUAAUGAAGUGUGAGGGAUUAUGACCUUAACCAUGGAACACUCCUCUUCUUACUCUCUCAAGGUGCUACUGAAGUUGGAACUCGACAAGGCACCAGAAUUCAAAGCAGCACCCUUUGAACAAAAAAGUUACUUGUCAUUGCCUCAUCCCAACAAUUCCCUUCCACAGGUGUGUGUGUGUGUCCCCGUGUUCCAACCAGGAUGAUGAUUUUGUUUUUGAACAACAAGGUGCUACUCAAGUGUUAGGGAUUAGGACCAUGGAAUACCCCUCUUAUUGCUCUGUGAUACAGAAGCGGAACUCGACAAGGCACCAGAAUCCAACGCAUAAACUUUGAACAAAAAGGGAAAUGAUGAUUGUUAAUAACGUAGUUACAGUUUGAUGUAUGUCCGAUUCUGAUUCAGCAAAUUCAAAGCCAAAAUAAGCCAGAGGUGGUGAAACGAAACAGGUGUGUUCCAACCACGAGGACGUUGACUCAGAUUUUUUCAAGGACAAUACGAAGUAUUUUCAGACCAAAAACAGUUGCCGGUGGGCGUUCUUAAAAGAUACAUGUAUGGUGGUUCACUUCCUUCCCAUUAAUGUUAACGUUGAUGCUGAAUUAUGGACUCAAACGAUGGCAUUGAAUUCCUCUUCUUAUUGCUCUGUGCUACUGAAGUGUUAGGGAUUAUGACCCAGACCAUGGAACACCCUCUUAUUCCUCUGUUGGAACUCGACAAGGCACCAGAAUUCAAAGCAGCACCCUUUGAACAAAACGGUACUUGUCAUUGCCUCAUGCCAACAAUCCCUUUUUAGGUGUGUGUGUGUGUGUGUGUGUGUGUUCGUGUUCCAACCAGGAUGAUGAUUUUGUUUGUGAACAACAAGGUACUACUGAAGUGUUAAAGAUUAUGACCAUGGAACACCCCUCUUCUUGCUCUAAAAAGGUACUUGUCAUGGCCCCAGAAUUCAAAGCUACACCCCUCUUCUUGCUCUAAAAAGGUACUUGUCAUGGCCCCAGAAUUCAAAGCUACACCCCUCUUCUUGCUCUAAAAAGGUACUUGUCAUGGCCCCAGAAUUCAAAGCACCAAUAUUUGAACAAAGAGGUACUUGUCAUGGCCUCAUCCCAACAAUUCCCUUCCACAGGUGUGUGUUCGUGUGUUCCAGCCAGAUUAUUUGGAGGAUGACGUAGAUUCAGACCAAAAAUGGUCGCAGGUGGUCGUUCUUACAGUGACAACAUCAAACUGAUUUUUUAAGAUGAUGAAGAUAUAUGGAGGUUCACUUUCUUUCCAUUGAUGUUAAGGACGAUGCUGACUUAUGGACCCAAACGAUGGAAAAUAUUAUUGCUCUGUGCUAGUGAAGUGUUAGGUAUUAUGACCAAAGACCAUGGAAUACCCCUCUUCUUGCUCUGUGCUACUGAAGUGAAACUCGACAAGGCACCAGAAUUGUCUCAAGCCAAAGGCCGCAGUAAUCAUAAAAAUGUAUAAAGGGAAAUGAGUGUUAAAUACUUAGCUAGCUCUAGCAAUAUGAUUCAUCAAAAUCAAAGCCAUCACAAGGAAAAAGCUAAAUAAUGGAAAAUUAUGACAUGUGAGCCAAUUAUUGUUUCAAAAUCAGCAAGGACUUCACCCCAUAGCACCAGCUUUUACCUGCACCACAAAGAAGUUUCCAACAUCUGCCAUAAUUCAAGGGGCUUCAUCUUCAAACAAUUGCAUUGACUAAUAAUAAUGCAGAGACAUUUUCAAUAGCAGCUUCAACGGAAGUUUCUCAAGUGGAGAAUCAAAAUGUAGAACUCUGUGAUUACUUUGAGGAUUAUGAAAGUUUAGACUACCUGGUAUUUAUACUUUUGAGGGACAGAGUGUUACAUGCUACAGUUUGAUCCGAGUCCGAGAGAGACAGAGAGAGAGAGAGAGAGAGAGAGAUGGAGAGAGCAAACAGACUUGAAGUUGGAACUCCACAAGGCACCAUAAUUCAACGCAUAGCCUUUGAACAAAAAGGUACUUGUCAUUGCCUCAUGCCAAAAAUUCCCUUCCACAGGUGCGUGUUCGUGUGUUCCAAAACCUUUUUUUUUGGAGGAUGAAGUAGAUUCAGACGAAAAACGGUUGCCGGCGGGCGUUCUUACAGUAACAACAUCAUACUGAUUUUUAGAGAUUUCUUGCACAUUUACGUAUAUGUGUGUGUUUGGACGUUAAGUAGACAAGGCACCAGAAUCGUCUCAAGCCAAACAAAGGAAACGAGUGUUAAUGACGUAGCACUGCAUAAUCAAAUGCAAAAGUUUAUGACCAAAUCUUCUUCUUGCUCUGAAUGAAUCAAAAGAGCGAUAAAAAAAAGUAUGGGAGGAGCAGUAGAAAACAGAAGUAUGGGAUGCUCGUUGGGUUUGGCAACGUGUCUAUGAUACAAUCAUACAACGGCUAUAUUUUGACAUUGUCAAUUUUUUUACAUGGCGUCGUGAGUUAGCCUUGAGAGUGACUUAGAUGUUUACAUGACCGAAGAUAUUGUUGACUUCACACGUGAGAGGGAUUAACGACGUAAAAUUACACA